RNAcentral lists this ribosomal RNA (610 nucleotides) under uncultured Pelagibacterales bacterium. RNAcentral describes it as "bacterial SSU rRNA". It matches the Rfam family "Bacterial small subunit ribosomal RNA", at positions 131 to 774 of the family's 1533-position model. Lineage: Bacteria; Pseudomonadati; Pseudomonadota; Alphaproteobacteria; Candidatus Pelagibacterales. The record is from RNAcentral.
CUUUGGUUCGGAAUAACAAGAGGAAACUUUUGCUAAUACCGGAUAAGUCUUUACGGAGAAAGCUUUAUGCGCCAUUGGAUGAGCCUGCACUUGAUUAGUUAGUUGGUGGGGUAAAGGCCUACCAAGACAAUGAUCAAUAGCUGAUUUGAGAGGAUGAUCAGCCACAUUGGGACUGAGACACGGCCCAAACUCCUACGGGAGGCAGCAGUAGGGAAUCUUGCACAAUGGGGGAAACCCUGAUGCAGCGAUGCCGCGUGAGUGAAGAAGGCCUUUGGGUUGUAAAGCUCUUUCGUCGGGGAAGAAAAUGACUGUACCCGAAUAAGAAGGUCCGGCUAACUUCGUGCCAGCAGCCGCGGUAAUACGAAGGGACCUAGCGUAGUUCGGAAUUACUGGGCUUAAAGAGUUCGUAGGUGGUUAAAAAAGUUGGUGGUGAAAUCCCAGAGCUUAACUCUGGAACUGCCAUCAAAACUUUUUAGCUAGAGUAUGAUAGAGGAAAGCAGAAUUUCUAGUGUAGAGGUGAAAUUCGUAGAUAUUAGAAAGAAUACCGAUUGCGAAGGCAGCUUUCUGGAUCAUUACUGACACUGAGGAACGAAAGCAUGGGUAGCGAAGA